Eriocheir sinensis (Chinese mitten crab) is the source of this 396-nucleotide long non-coding RNA. RefSeq lists it as uncharacterized. The record is from RefSeq and is a predicted model, not a curated record. The transcript is spliced from 2 exons. Lineage: Eukaryota; Metazoa; Arthropoda; Malacostraca; Decapoda; Varunidae.
UGGUUAUUGUCCAACUGGUCGAGCAUUCUCUGUUGAUGAACCUUCAUGUUCUCCUCCAUGUCGUCAGUCAUAUCUAGAAAGUCCAUGACGUCAUUCCCCUCGGCCACCACAAAAGGCACCACCAUCAGGCACAUAAGAAGGCCGAAGAGGUUCUGGUUGUGGUACUCCUUCUUCAGCUCAUCCAGAGUGAAGGGAGUCUUCUUGCCGGCAUUCGAGAGAACUUGAGAAAAGGACUCGUAGUAAGUCUUCAUGAACGCCUCCAGGUUGUUCUUCCUCACCUGGCCCUCCAGGCUCGAGUACAGGAGGUAGUUGAGGUCAGUGGCCAGCGAGGCUUUGCGGCAAAUCUGAAGGUCGAGAAGGCGCACGUCCACGGGUUUUCCGCUCUCGUCGUACCUG